UUUCUAAAUUAGAAAAUUUAUUUUCUAUUAGAAACCCUAGUUAGUGGGUUAUAAACCCUAAGGGUUAAAAAGUUGUGUGUAAGGAAUAUGAACAUUAUGUGAUGGUUUAUAUUUAUUUAUUAUAUAAACAAACAAAAGAAAUUAGUGUAAACCUAAUUAUAUAUUAGGAAUGAAGGAUUUAAUAACUUAAGGGUUAUGGAAAAAGAGAAUUGUGGUAUUUAGAAUACUUACUAAUUCUAGGAGAUUUAUUUUAUAUAUCUCAAAUGAUUAAUUUUAUAACCUAAUUAUAGCAAGUCUAAUUGGGUUAAGGAAAUAAGUGUGCAUAAGCAAGGAUUUGUGUUAUAAUUGAGGAAAUGAAAACCCUAAUUAAAUGAAUUGGGGUGGAUAAGAAUUUAGGUAAUUGGACUAUGUAUAUUUU
Molecule: long non-coding RNA, 418 nt
Filed under: Panax ginseng (ginseng)
Lineage: Eukaryota; Viridiplantae; Streptophyta; Magnoliopsida; Apiales; Araliaceae
Description: long non-coding RNA (PGIN_LNC000223)
Source: RNAcentral